ACUAAAACGCUAGCAAUUAAACCACCAAAACAUCACAUUAAUUAUCAACCAACUAAAACAUUCUAAAUCUAAGUAUAUGCGACAGAACAGAAAUAAUUUAGCCAUAGAGAAAGUACCGUAAGGGAAAGCUGAAAAAGAAAUUAAAAAAUCCAUCAAAGUACAAAAUAGCAGGAAUUAACUUCCGUACCUUUUGCAUUAUGAUCUAGUUAGUCAACCGGAGCAAAAAGACUUUAAGUUCCUCCUCCCGAAACUAGACGAGCUAUUUUAUAGCAGCUAAUCGAGCUAAUCCGUCUCUGUAGCAAAAGAGUGGAAAGACUAUUAAAUAGAGGUGACACGCCUAUCGAGCCUAGUAAUAGCUGGUUGCUUAAUAAACGAGUAUAAGCUCUACCUUAAAUCUUAUUACAAUAAAACCAAUAUUAAUAAAAACUUAAGAGCCAUUCAUAAGAGGUACAGCCCUUAUGAAAAAGGAGACAACCUACAACUAUGGCUAAUGAUUAUACACAAUAAAAUCUUAUAACCCAGUAGACUUAAAAGCAGCCAUCUAUUAUGAAAGCGUCAUAGCUCUAAACAUUAUAACUAAACAACCCCAAUAAUUUAUCAAAAUCCAUCAAAUUUAUUAAGCCUACUCAUACAUUUAUAACUAUGAUAAUACUAGAACUAGUAAUAAGAAAACAUAAUUUUCUCUUCCGCUUCAGUGUAAACUAGAUUGGACUCCCCACUAGUAAUUAACAAAAUAAUUUAACAUAAUAAACUAGACCAUAAUGCAAAAUUUACUGUUAAUCCUACACAGGAUAGCAUUUAUAGAAAGAUUUAAAAAUAUGGAAGGAACUCGGCAAACUUCAGGCUUCGCCUGUUUACCAAAAACAUCGCCUCUAGCUAACAUUACAUACAUUAGAGGUACUGCCUGCCCAGUGAUAAAAAUUAAACGGCCGCGGUAUUCUGACCGUGCAAAGGUAGCAUAAUCACUUGUCUUUUAAAUAAAGACUUGUAUGAAUGGCAAGACGAAAGCUAAACUGUCUCCCCUAUUUGAUCAAUGAAACUGAUCUCCUUGUACAAAAGCAAGGAUGAUACUACAAGACGAGAAGACCCUAUGGAGCUUAAAACACGCCAGCACUUAUUUAGACCUAAUUUUCUAAUUAUUACUUAAUAAAUAUGACUUCGCUGUUUUUGGUUGGGGUGACCACGGAGAAUAAUAAUCCUCCGAUGAUGGUUGAACCAAGAUUAACAACCCAAAGUACCGGAACUUCUGACAUACUUGACCCAAUAAAUUUGAUCAACGAACCAAGUUACCCUAGGGAUAACAGCGCAAUCUUCUCUAAGAGUCCAUAUCAACGAGAAGGUUUACGACCUCGAUGUUGGAUCAGGAUCCCAAGACAGUGCAGCCGCUGCUACAGGUUUGUUUGUUCAACAAUUAAAAUCCUACGUGAUCUGAGUUCAGACCGGAGUAAUCCAGGUCAGUUUCUAUCUGUUAAACAUUUUUUUUAGUACGAAAGGACCAAAAAAAUAAAGCCAAUACAACCAAUGCAAGCUUUCUUAAAAUACAUGAAAAUAACUAAAUGUUAACAUACAUUAAUUAAUCCCUAAAAAAGGGAAUU
This 1595-nucleotide ribosomal RNA is filed under the name Chikila fulleri (Kuttal caecilian). Its description in RNAcentral is "16S ribosomal RNA". It matches the Rfam family "Bacterial large subunit ribosomal RNA". The record is from RNAcentral. Lineage: Eukaryota; Metazoa; Chordata; Amphibia; Gymnophiona; Chikilidae.